RNAcentral lists this ribosomal RNA (536 nucleotides) under uncultured Polaribacter sp. RNAcentral describes it as "bacterial SSU rRNA". It matches the Rfam family "Bacterial small subunit ribosomal RNA", at positions 72 to 606 of the family's 1533-position model. Lineage: Bacteria; Pseudomonadati; Bacteroidota; Flavobacteriia; Flavobacteriales; Flavobacteriaceae. The record is from RNAcentral.
CAUUGUGCUUGCACAGAUGACGACCGGCGCACGGGUGCGUAACGCGUAUAGAACCUACCUUUUACAGAGGAAUAGCCUUUAGAAAUGAAGAUUAAUGCCUCAUGGUAUUGUAGACUGGCAUCAGUUUAUAAUUAAAGAUUUAUCGGUAAAAGAUGGCUAUGCGUCCUAUUAGUUAGUUGGUAAGGUAACGGCUUACCAAGACAGCGAUAGGUAGGGGUCCUGAGAGGGAGAUCCCCCACACUGGUACUGAGACACGGACCAGACUCCUACGGGAGGCAGCAGUGAGGAAUAUUGGACAAUGGAGGAGACUCUGAUCCAGCCAUGCCGCGUGUAGGAAGAAUGCCCUAUGGGUUGUAAACUACUUUUAUACAGGAAGAAACACUGGUAUGUAUACCAGCUUGACGGUACUGUAAGAAUAAGGACCGGCUAACUCCGUGCCAGCAGCCGCGGUAAUACGGAGGGUCCGAGCGUUAUCCGGAAUCAUUGGGUUUAAAGGGUCCGCAGGCGGUCGAUUAAGUCAGAGGUGAAACCCCAUA